GUGUCUGUAGCUCAGUUGGUUAGAGCAUCCGCCUGUUAAGCGGAGGGUCAUAGGUUCAAGUCCUAUCAGAUACGCCA
Molecule: transfer RNA, 77 nt
Filed under: Bacillus wiedmannii
Lineage: Bacteria; Bacillati; Bacillota; Bacilli; Caryophanales; Bacillaceae
Description: tRNA-Asn
Rfam family: tRNA
About the family: Transfer RNA (tRNA) molecules are approximately 80 nucleotides in length.
Source: RNAcentral